This 272-nucleotide long non-coding RNA is filed under the name Gossypium barbadense (sea-island cotton). RNAcentral describes it as "long non-coding RNA (GBAR_LNC010552)". The record is from RNAcentral. Lineage: Eukaryota; Viridiplantae; Streptophyta; Magnoliopsida; Malvales; Malvaceae.
GAGGAGAUGAGCAGAGAAGAACUUACAGGUGUAAACGAAAAAGGUAAAAGGGAUAGUUAGAAACCUAAGUCCAACGCCUACAGGACACCUGACACUUCGAAUACGAAAAAGGCAAAAGGGAUAGAUGGGGAAUCAAUGGCCAGUGGGAAGGGUGAAUUUUAGGGAUUUCAAACUAGGGAAGAAGGGGUUAUUUUCGGAUGUCAAAUUAGGGAAAAACAGGUGAUAAUUCUUUAGGGAUUUGCACUAAGGAAAAGAGGGGAAAUGAACUGGGG